CAAUAGCGUAUAUUAAAGUUGUUGCAGUUAAAAAGCUCGUAGUCGGAUUUUGGCAUCAUGCCGAACUGUCAGCCGAUUGGUUUGUACGGUUUGGCGGGUGCUCUCCUUCCGGAGGCUCGUUUCCUCUUUCAUUAGAGGGUUCGAUGGUUCCGGGUCUUUUACUUUGAAAAAUUAGAGUGUUCAAAGCAGGCCUAUGCUCUGAAUAGGUUAGCAUGGAAUAAUAAAAUAGGACUUUGGUUCUAUUUUGUUGGUUUCUAGGACCGAAGUAAUGAUUAAUAGGGACAGUUGGGGGCAUUCAUAUUCCAAUGUCAGAGGUGAAAUUCUUGGAUUAUCGGAAGAUGAACUUCUGCGAAAGCAUUUACCUAAGGACAGGUUUUCAUUUUAAUACUAAGGAAACGUAAACGUUAAAGGGGGAAGUAACGUUAAAGGGGAAUUCGGAAGUACUAGGAAUUACCCGUACGUAGUAACCGGUACCUUGGGA
This 481-nucleotide ribosomal RNA is filed under the name uncultured eukaryote. RNAcentral describes it as "bacterial SSU rRNA". It matches the Rfam family "Eukaryotic small subunit ribosomal RNA", at positions 592 to 1049 of the family's 1831-position model. The record is from RNAcentral.